GGACUCGCGAAUGCUCUAGAUUAGAGUUGAUCAUGGCUCAGGAUGAACGCUGGCGGCGUGCCUAAUACAUGCAAGUCGAGCGAAUGGAUUAAGAGCUUGCUCUUAUGAAGUUAGCGGCGGACGGGUGAGUAACACGUGGGUAACCUGCCCAUAAGACUGGGAUAACUCCGGGAAACCGGGGCUAAUACCGGAUAACAUUUUGAACCGCAUGGUUCGAAAUUGAAAGGCGGCUUCGGCUGUCACUUAUGGAUGGACCCGCGUCGCAUUAGCUAGUUGGUGAGGUAACGGCUCACCACGGCAACGAUGCGUAGCCGACCUGAGAGGGUGAUCGGCCACACUGGGACUGAGACACGGCCCAGACUCCUACGGGAGGCAGCAGUAGGGAAUCUUCCGCAAUGGACGAAAGUCUGACGGAGCAACGCCGCGUGAGUGAUGAAGGCUUUCGGGUCGUAAAACUCUGUUGUUAGGGAAGAACAAGUGCUAGUUGAAUAAGCUGGCACCUUGACGGUACCUAACCAGAAAGCCACGGCUAACUACGUGCCCAGCAGCCGCGGUAAUACGUAGGGUGGCCAAGCGUUAUUCGGAAUUAUUGGGGCGGUAAAGGGCGCGCCC
Molecule: ribosomal RNA, 612 nt
Filed under: uncultured bacterium
Lineage: Bacteria
Description: bacterial SSU rRNA
Rfam family: Bacterial small subunit ribosomal RNA
Source: RNAcentral